UAACCACUCAAGCUCUAGCUUGGUCUUGGGGUUCGCGUCCUCGCGGCUCCUAAAAUCAGUGGCGGUGCCGGUCGGCUCUACGCGUAGUAAUACUCCUCGCGAUUGAGUCCGGUCGGUCUACUGGCCAACAACCCCCCAUUUUUUACA
RNAcentral lists this unclassified non-coding RNA (147 nucleotides) under Rhynchobrunnera orthospora. Its description in RNAcentral is "partial internal transcribed spacer 2". The record is from RNAcentral. Lineage: Eukaryota; Fungi; Ascomycota; Leotiomycetes; Helotiales; Ploettnerulaceae.